UGGGGAAUUUUGGACAAUGGGCGCAAGCCUGAUCCAGCCAUGCCGCGUGUCUGAAGAAGGCCUUCGGGUUGUAAAGGACUUUUGUCAGGGAAGAAAAGGGCGGGGUUAAUACCCCUGUCUGAUGACGGUACCUGAAGAAUAAGCACCGGCUAACUACGUGCCAGCAGCCGCGGUAAUACGUAGGGUGCGAGCGUUAAUCGGAAUUACUGGGCGUAAAGCGGGCGCAGACGGUUACUUAAGCAGGAUGUGAAAUCCCCGGGCUCAACCUGGGAACUGCGUUCUGAGCUGGGUGACUAGAGUGUGUCAGAGGGAGGAAGAAUUCCACGUGUAGCAGUGAAAUGCGUAGAGAUGUGGAGGAAUACCGAUGGCGAAGGCAGCCUCCUGGGAUAACACUGACGUUCAUGCCCGAAAGCGUGGGUAGCAAACA
This 427-nucleotide ribosomal RNA is filed under the name uncultured bacterium. RNAcentral describes it as "partial 16S ribosomal RNA". It matches the Rfam family "Bacterial small subunit ribosomal RNA", at positions 355 to 774 of the family's 1533-position model. The record is from RNAcentral.